CUGCGAUUCCCACCUUCAGCUUCUUUUCUUCGAUAUAUAGACCAUCCAAUCAAUCAAACAAACCAGCUCUUCUUCUCCUUCGAUACACCCCUCUUCACCUCUUCGAUAUCUAAAGCCCCAAAUAAAAAUCCCAAUCAGCCGUUAAUAUCAUUCAAAAACCAUUAUUCAACAACCAAAUCGCAGACAUCAUCCAGGUAUCUUCCUCUUCACACUUCGAUACACAUCAAGGAAGGCUGUAAUCCUCUGCACCCUCAACCGACGAAACAGCAACGCCGACGAUACAGGUUGUGCGACGAAACUGAGUUUUUGUUGUUUGACGAAACUGAACAUCUUCCUGGUCGACGAAAGUGGAGGUGGUGAUUCGUCAUUGGAUCAGUUUCGUCGGGAGUGGGUAUGAAGAAACCCUAGUUUCUUUAAGCAGCCGCCAAGAACAUCAAGAACAGAGUGUAUUCCAACAAGCACAAUGAUGAUGAAGAAACGGAGUCACUGCAAAUAGCCUAUUCAAACCUUGGUGAUGACAGGGUGCGGCUUGUAAGUGUUUUAUUUUCUUUCAUGUUGUUGAUAAAUAGUUGGAUAGAAAUUAUUCAUAUGGUUUCCGUUA
Helianthus annuus (common sunflower) is the source of this 601-nucleotide long non-coding RNA. RefSeq lists it as uncharacterized. The transcript has 2 exons. Lineage: Eukaryota; Viridiplantae; Streptophyta; Magnoliopsida; Asterales; Asteraceae. The record is from RefSeq and is a predicted model, not a curated record.